This is a long non-coding RNA of Mytilus californianus (California mussel), 372 nucleotides long. RefSeq lists it as uncharacterized. NCBI's taxonomy places the organism in Eukaryota, Metazoa, Mollusca, Bivalvia, Mytilida, Mytilidae. The record is from RefSeq and is a predicted model, not a curated record. The transcript is spliced from 3 exons.
GGACCAUUAAUUAUUCUUAUUAUAUGAAUACAUUGAAGACAAGACAAGAAAUGAAUUGGUCAACUCGACUAGCCGCAUGGAUGAUUCUAUUUAGUAUCGUCACGACGCAUGUCCAUAGUGAUUUCCAAAUUCGAACAUUAGAUAAGAAGGUUGCGUCUACAUUUUUAUGUCAACAUGGCUGCAGAUAUGCACACAUUGACUUGGCAGAAGAAGAAGAACUAGAAAGUGAAGAACCUCCACCAGAAGUUAUUAUAUGGGAACAUUACAGCAGCGACUGCAAGUAUUGUAUUUGACACCAGCAACACGACAGAUGACACUAGUGGAAACAUGAUACUCUUCCAGAGCACCUCAACUUAUUGUUUGUCGUUUUUU